GUGGAUCUCUGCUCCUCCAUUCACUACCUUUGCUCUGAGAGCUCUGCCUCUGUACUUCUGGGAUGUUGAUGUUUUUCUCAAUUCAGGUUUAUCAGCAGUAAACCUGGCCUUGUCCACAAGCUGUUAUCUGAAACUUUUGGGGCCAGGUGAGUUUUAAAAUACAGAAUUUUCAGAUUUUGGAGAGAUUGUAUGGUUCACAAACAGAUUUUGAAGCAACAUCCUAUCAAACAUAUUAGGAUUUCUGUAAUAAAGGAUAUGAAUAUCCACACCAAGUGAAAUAAAUUAAGACUAUAUCAUAUCAAUUCAGAUCACGUUUUACUGUCAGAUGAAUUCAGAUGAUAUUAAAUUUUGAUGCCAAAUAAAUUACAAAAGCACUUUAAAUUUUUAGAGAUGUUUAGAUUUUGGAAUUAUAGAUAAGGGAUAUUUGGCUGUCUUUUGAUCUCCAACUGUCUGACUUCUGUGUCUACUUUCUCUUAUUGGUUCUUGGCUUGGAGAGUGAAAGAAGGCCAGAGUGAAUACACCAAAAAGGUAAGGAAGCUUCAAUUUUAGCCAUCCUCAGUUGUACAGGCCUUUUCUUUAUACCCACAACUUAUAAGUUUAAAUUUUUUUUCUUAAAAAUAUAAAUUUUAGGGGCUGGGGCUAUGACUCAGUGGUAGCACACUUGCCUGGCAUGUGUGAGGCACUGGGUUUGAUUCUCAGCACCAUGUAUAAAUAAAUAAAAAUAAAGGUCUAUCAACAACUAAAAUAUUUCAGGGCCCACAGAGAAAGAUAUAUCACCCUUGGAGAAAGGUAUGAUUGCCUUCCCUGAAAUUCUGAUGGCCAGAAAGUAGUUACUAUUAUCAUCACCAUCUUACUUGUGUAUGUGUACAGACUGAGGCUUAAGAGCUUAAAUCCCCUAGCAUCCAGUUACAAGUGACAAAGUCUAGUUUUAAACCCAGACGGUGUAACUUUUGGGUUUGUGCCUUUAAUCACUGCCUUUCUCUAUCUGUGGAUAAAUAUAAUAGUUGACAUUCUAUUUCUAGCUAAAGUAAAUCCUAGAGUGUCGCGACCCCUUGCCCGCAAGGAAGACGCAACUCAGGAAUCUUCUUUCAGCAGUUUAUUCAGGCCCUGGAUAUUUCUUCUUCUUUUUCUCGGGUGCCCCUCCCAGCCUUAAUAAAGCAUCCCAAGCCCCAAUGCAAAGCUGCCGCGUGGAACUUUCUCACAGGGUGAUGAAAAAUCAUGUGCCAACUUUCCCAGAUAAGAAGUUGUUUGUCACAGACCACAGCGGAGCCAGCGCCAUCUUGUAAUGGCGACCAUAAUCUGCAGAAACGGCAGAAGCGGCUCACCACAGUUCCCCCUUUUCUGUUUUCUUAAAACAAUACAGGCGAGAGUAGAGGUCCUAUCCCACUGUGCAGAAGUGGCUGCAUAGUAUGGCUCAGUCCCAAGGAGGGCCCUUCCCCAGAUCUGAGGCCAUAUCAGCCGACGCCUUUUUUCGUGGGGCGGGGCGUGAACGCGUCUAACCCGCAUGCAAUAGGACAUGCUCUCCUUGAGGUCCUCUUCAAGGAUCACUCAAGUGCAGUGCCUUGCCUCGCAUCCUGUAUCGUGACGAUGGUGGACGAAGGGGGAUAGCUGAGGCUGAACUGUGGCUGUUUAUAACGACAAACAAGUUGACAGCACCCUGAAAGAAAGGCACGAACUUCAAGGCGAUAGAAAAGUACUAGUGUGGAAACCCAUCUGCGUGCAAUGGCAGUAAGACCGGCAGAGUGCAAGGGCUUUCCAACACUAAGAGAAUAACAAGGAAAGUCAUGUCGAUCCCAGUGCAAUGUUAUAAUAACUUGGGGUGUAACGACCAUGACAAAGGUUUACUGCUUAAGAUGCGCAAGCCAGACUUGAGGCGAGUUGCCAUUUUCUAAAGCUGCAAGAGCUUGUAUGAUCAUAGCCUUUUCUUGUGCAUGGCGAGUUUUAAGGCGACAGAGAAGCCACAAACAAAGUACAACACUGAAGCAACACAUUGCACCAAAAAUGCCUAUUCCCACCCACUCUUUGAAGAAGGAAAAAGCAGAAGAUAUCCAAUCGGUGAAUUGACCCAAAGUCACNCUGUAAGGCAACCACGGACCAUUUUCCAAAGGGGUAUCACCCCACCCUCUAAUAUGCCCUGCUCAGAAGCAAAGUCAAGAUCUUUGCCUAAUUUAUCCCAACUAGGCACAGUAAGGCUGCCCGAAAAUGCAAACCACGGUGCAGCGAUAUCUAUCUUCUGUAAAAAUCUCUGUAAAGUACUAUGUUUCACUUCCAGUCCCUUGGAACGUAACAGGCCAUCUAGGGCCAGGAGAAGCGGACUUGAAGAUGCGGCACCCAUGACACAACAACAAAGGAAGCACAAAAAACAGAAAGCGAAAGUAGAAGCGAAAGUACACAGUGCAGCUGCAAUAAAAUGUAAGGCUCUCUCUUUCAUUACAGAGGAGCUGUCCCGCUUUGGUCGCGGAUCCCACUUACUAGGGACUAACCCCGCUUUGAUCGCGGAUCCCACUUAUUGGGACUAACCCCGCUUUGGUCGCGGAUCCCACUUACCUGGGACUAACCCCGCUUUGGUCGCGGAUCCCACUUACCUGGGACUAACCGGUGCACCACCCCUGACUGCUGAAAGUUCUGGUUCCCGGGUCUCGGCACCACUUGUCGCGACCCCUUGCCCGCAAGGAAGACGCAACUCAGGAAUCUUCUUUCAGCAGUUUAUUCAGGCCCUUGAUAUUUCUUCUUCUCCCUCUCUGAUGCCCCUCCCAGCCUUAAUAAAGCAUCCCAAGCCCCAAUGCAAAGCUGCCGCGUGGAACUUUCUCACAGGGUGAUGAAAAAUCAUGUGCCAACUUUCCCAGAUAAGAAGUUGUUUGUCACAGACCACAGCGGAGCCAGCGCCAUCUUGUAAUGGCGACCAUAAUCUGCAGAAACGGCAGAAGCGGCUCACCACACUAGAGAAUAUUCUUUAUCCACAGAAAAAUAACCUAAAGAAUCUUAAUUUCUAUCAUUCUCAGUCUAUAGCCUAAAGUCCUCUAGUAACUCAGAAAAAGUGCAUGUAGUAACCUUCCUUCUCCAGAGAAUCCUGGGGAUUAAAUCCUGUUGGUACAUUACAAUUCUCCUGAUACUGAGCCUUCAAAAUUAAGCAGACUUUCCUCUUUUCCCCAAAAAAUUUCACUCACCAACAUAUUAAGUAUGUUUGAAUUUCAUAAAAUUCAAUCUGAAAGUCAGUGAAACUGUAUACACAGGAUCCUCUAACAUUUCCAUAAUAGUGAAUGGUCUCAAGUUUUUAUUUCUCUACAUAACUCUAUACAACAACCCUAUGAGAAAUGGAAAGCACCAAAUACCCACACUUUAUAAAUGAUAAAACUGAGGACCAAAGGAAGUAAUUUUACUAGUUGGCAAAAUUGGCAACCAAGCCUGGGACAUUUUCCCCUUACUAUAACCAUGUCUUUUUUAUAUAAAUGCUUGAGGGACUUGUUUCUCCUAAGGGGGAAAGUAGAAGAUGGUUUAUCUAAACAGCAUCAACUGUGGACAUGGUAGUUACAACUUGUUUCAUGCAUUACUUUAUCUGCUGAUGAAUUUUCCCUCAAACAACAAAACCAUUCACACUGUUUUUUUUUUUUAAAUUUUAUUCCCAGAUUCUCCAACUGGAAUAAGAGACCAAUAAGGAAAAUUUUGUUUUACUCCUCAUAAUUACAAUAAUGAUUAAAUACAUUUUAUUAUGAAAGUAAAUAAAAUUACAGAGAAUAAUAAGAGGAUAACAAUGAUAUCCAUCACCCAGCUAUAACACACCUUAACAUUUUGCCACUUGUUUCCUUUAGGCUUUUUCUUAAUUAAUAAAGUCCUUAUAAAUGUUCUCCAGUUCCAAUUUUUUCUUCCACUAUCCAGAAGUAACAGUAAUCUGAAUUUUGUAUUUUAAUCCAUAAAUAUUUAAUAAUACUUUUUCAUUUAACAUUUUUAAAUGUAAGUUUUUUAUAUAAGUUUCUCAUUUUAAAACUACCAUUUCACAGUAUGAUUUUUACACUCAGUGUUUUGAGGUUUAUAUUGAAACUUAAAGCUAAGAGAUUUAUGCCUUCAGCUUUUGUGAUACUAUGAAUGAGGUCUUUGUUUCAAGUACAUUUUCUAAUUGGUUAGAGCCAGUAUAUGGGAACUCUAAUGACUUGGAAUCAAAGAACCUUUCUCAACUCAUUUAAUAAUUUACAAUAGUUUAUAGUUUCAUCAAAUUUUCUACAUGGGCAAUCAUCUGAGAAUAAGGACAAGCAAGCAGUUCUAGAAUGAUCAUCUUUCUCAGUGUGAUCUGCUACUCUGCAGAAUAAAAAGCUCACAGGAUAUCUGAUUUCUAAACUAAGAUCACUCUCCAGUACCUACAAACCUAUGUUCGUAUGCAGUUAUUCAGGAUUCUCCUAUUUCCCAUCUUGAAUGCUUUACAAGAUAUAUUAUUCUAAAGAUGCUCUUUUCUUGCUCUGUCACCCAAAUAUUUUAUUUCCCAGAGAUUUCUUGAUUUGACUUCAAACGGAGCACUCUAAAACAAAGAACUGGAAACAAAUGCAAAGCGGUAUUUUUUAUUUCAAGAAAAGCAUAUUACCUCAUUUAAAAACGAUGAGAUUUUUAGAGAAACGUUCUUUAGAUUUAGGAAUCUUCUAAUUAGAUUUCUACAUGAAUAGAUUGAAGCAAAGAUUCUCUUUUUGUUUGUCAACACAAAUUGGAGAAAAAAUAUGAGUUCAACAUCAUCUGCUCUCAUAGAGAAGAAAAGUAAAGAGUCACAUGAAAAUAAAGGUCAAAGACCUAUUAUUAUCUUUUUGGCAUUUAUUCUGACCUCCUAACAUUGCUAGGAAAAAAAGACCAGUAAUCUUAAUAAAGCAAGAGUCUCCUGGGAAAGCAUCGUCUGGUUUCCAUGUGAACAGGAAGCCAGAGCUUUGACUAUGUCCUUCCUUAUUAUUUUGAAAUGACACUGUUAAAAGCUGUUUUCUUUAAACUCUGCACUAUAGAAAACAUUACCAAAUAAAUAUGUGUCAAUUAGUGUUCUUUGGAUGCAAACAAAUAAACCAACUAAACAAAAUGUUACUGGAAAUAUUUUGGGGAUAUACUCUUCAGAAAUUGUUUAUGUAGGCUCCACUGUGUUCCAGUCUUGUUACUCCACUAAAGAUCCAGACCCCUGGAAAAGAGACUGAUUUGCCUGAUUCAUUCCAUGUGUUCCCUCCUUGAUAUGUGUGUUGGUGGCUGAAGGAGGAUACAUUUGCUUUCAUGUCCUUCCAAGACUACAUCUGAUGGUGAAGGGAAAGUUCCCAAGGAAAUCUGGGCUUUCUUAUUCAGGAAGUGGCUGUACAGGAGGGUACAGCACAUGUUCAUUGCAUCCCUUCUGUUGUGUUUUAUAACAAGGCUUAAUACAGAGUCUCCAGGCAGAACCUCCCAGCAGUACCACUGGAGAGGUUUAGGACCCCAGAAAGAGGUGAAUCCAAUGAAAGCAACUGGAGAAUUGGGGGAAGGAAGCUUCCAUCAGGUCCAUAGCAGGCAUCCAGCUGCCAGUAUGAACCCAGUGCUCUAAAGCAGCCUAUCUCACACAUGAGCAAUGGGAAUGGGGCCUUGAAACUGAUGAGAGUGUUCAGUGAGCACUUAGAGGUAGGCUGACCUAGGAAGCUUCCAGGAGAGCAAAAAGAGUGCCCCCCCUCCAGGGUAGACUGACUUCUCUUUCUUUUCCCUCCCUCCCUCCCUCCCUCCCUCCCUCCCUCCCUUCCUUCCUUCCUUCCUUCCUUCCUUCCUUCCUUCCUUCCUUCCUUCCAUUCAGAGCAGGUAGCUCCCCUUAGAGACUUCUUUGGUCCCCAUCUCACAGUUCAGCUCUUAGCUUGAAUACAGAACUCUGUUUUUUUCCUAAAACAUCAUUCCCAGCCAGACACAGUGGCACAGGCUUGUAAUCCUAGUAGCUCUGGAGGCUGAGGAAGGAGGAUCACAAGUUCAAAGCCAGGCUUAGCAACUUAGUGAGGCCCUUAGCAACUUAGUGAGACACUGUCUCAAAAUUUAAAAAUAACAUUAAAAGGGUUGGGGAUAUAGCUCAGUAAUUAAGCACCCCUGAAUUCAAUCCCUAGUACAAAAAAAUCACUCCCAUCAUCCUUGAUUUGCUUCUCUGUUGCUUCUGUUGAUCUUGACUGUAAGGCAGGAAAUGUGCAAAUCUAGAGUAGACUCUGGCAUUCCAAUCAUGGCUCUUCUACCACCUUGCUGGGUGACCUACCUUAUCAGUCCCUGUCCCAGAUGACUUGAGUGACUGCUGCUGCAAUACUUACAGUUUUACUUUUACUUACCUGCCCUCUGUCUUGAUGAGACUUAUUAAGAAACCAAAUCAUAGAAUUAUACCCAUUUCUUGUUAGCGUCCAAUUUAGGGGAAGUCCUAGUCCUUAAAAUCUCUUCCAAAUCACCUAACACAAGACCAAAUUUUAUGACAAAUCCUUUCAAACACCCUUUAUUGAAUCAUUUCACCUUUGCCCAUGCUCUGAGUUUUCUCUCUAUAAUGAGAAAAUAACUUCACCUUUUCAACCAUAGGUGUGUUCCUGGGGCUCUUUAGCUGGAGGGUACUCACACAAUUAUGGGCAUUAAAAUUCAAGUGGUGUAGUUUGGCACCCUGUCUUCCCCACUUACCAUCUAUGUAACCUGAGCCUGGUAUCUGGUAUCUUAACCUCUGUGCCUUAGUUGCUUAUUUGUAAAAUAGAGGAAAUUACUACACUUUGUUCAUUGGAAUGUUGUAUUAGCAUGUAGGCACUUAGCACAGUGCCUGGCACCUAACAAGUUACCAAUAAUAUCAACUUUUUUUUCACUGAUUAUAUUUAUUCAUUUAUUUAUUUAUUUAUUUUGGUACCAGUGAUUGAACCUAGGGGCACUGAGCCCAUUCCCAGUCCUUUUUAUUUUUUUAUUUUGAGACAGGGUCUCACUAAGUUGCUUAGUGCCUUGCUAAGUUGCUGAAGCUGGCUUUGAACUUGCAAUCCUCCUGCCUCAGCCUCCUGAGCCACUGGGACUACAGGUGUAUGCCACCAUGCCCAGCUAAAACUUUUAUAUAUUUUUGAUAGUCAACAUGAUAGUUUGAAAUAUGUAUACACUGUUAAGUGGCUCAAUUCAGCUAUUAUGAGGCAUACUUAUUAUUUUUUGUGAUGAGAACACUUAAAAUAUACUCUCUUGACCAUUUUCAAAAUAUAUUUUUUACUUAGCCAUCAUAUUGUACAAUAUAUUUCUUUUAACUUAUUCCUCCUAUCUAACUGAAAUCUGUAUCCCUUGUCUAAUACCUCUUUUUUUGUUGAAUACAUCUUUUUUAAAAUAUUUUUUUUUAGUUGCUGAUAGACUUUUAUUUAUUUUUAUGUGUUCAUGAGAAUCAAACACAGUGCCUCACAUGCCAGGCAAGUGCUCUCUCACUGAGCCAUGGCCCCAGCCCCUAUCCAAUAUCUAUUUAUAUCCUCACCCCAAGCCCCUCAUAACUAUUAUUCUACUCUACUUCUGUGAGUUCAAUGUUUUCAGAUUCCACAUAUGAGUGAGAUAAUAUGGUAUCUUUCUGUGUUUGACUUGUUUCCCUUUGCAUAAUGUUCUUCAAAUAAUAAUGCUCACAAAUAAUAGAAUUUUCUUUUGUAUUAAGGCUGAAUAAUAUUUCACUGUUUAUAUAUAGCACAUUUUCAUUAUUCAUUAUUUCAUUAUCCAUUAUUCGUUAUUAUCCAUCUGUUAAUGAACAUGUAGGUUGAUUCCAUGUUAUGAAUGAUGAUGUAAUGAAUAUGGGAUUGUAAAUAUCUCAUCAACAUACUGAAUGCAUACCCCCUGGAUUUGUAUCCAGUAGUAGAAUUUCUGUCAUAUGAUGAUUCUAUUUUUAAUUUUUUGAGAAACUUCCAUACUAUUUGCCAUAAUGACCAUACUUGUUUGCAUUUCCUCCAACAGUGUGCCAGAGCUCCCUUUACUGAACAUUCUUGCCAACACUUGUCAUCUUUUCUCUUUUUGACAACAGUCAUUCUAAAAGACAGGAGAUGUUUAUUGUGAUUUUAAUUUAUAUUUCUCUCAUAACUAGUGAUGGUGAAUAUUUUUCAUAUACCCAUUGGCCAUUUAUAUCUCCUCUUUGGGGAAAUGUCUGUUUGAGUGAGAACUCAGCCCAUUUUUAAACUGGAUAUCUUAUAUUCUUGCUAUUGAGUUGUUUCAGUUCCUUUUACAUUUUGAAUAUAACCCCUUAUGGAAUAAAUGGUUUGCAAACAUUAUGACCCAUUCAGUAGUUUGUAUCUUCACUUAAAUGAUUGUUUCCUUUUUUAUAUAAAAGCUUUUUAGUUGAUGCAAUCUGAUAUAUUCUGGCUUUUAUUGUUUAUGCUUUUGUACUCAUAUCUAAAAUAUUAUUGCCCAGACCAAUGUCAUGGAGAUUUCCCCCUAUGUUUUUGUUAUGUUUUAGAUAUGUGAUGUCCUCAAAAGCUCAUGUGUGAGACAAUGCAAGAAUGUUUAGAGUUGUAAUGAUGAGGUGAUGUUGCCUAAUCAGUGGAUUCAUAAACUCAUAUGGACUAAGUGAGUGGUCGCUAUAGGCAGAUGGUAGUGGCUGCAAAAGGGGUCAUAAUUUUGGGGUUUAUAUUUUGUCCCUGGUAGCCGGAGCAUUCUCUCUCACUCUCCUUCUCCCUUCCUCUCUUUUUCUGUCUGUCUCUGCUUCCUGGUUUCCAUGUCCUAAGAUGCCAUCCUCUGCCCAUCCUUUUGCCAUGAUGUUCAGCCUUACCUGUGGCCCAGAGCUGUGGAGUUGGCUGGCCACGGAUUGGACCUCUGAAACCCAUGAGCCAAAAUAAACUUUUCCUCCUCUACAGUGUUCUUGUUGGGUCUUUUUUUGUCACAGCAACAACAACAACAACAAAACAAAACAAAAAAAAUCACAUCAAAAAAAUCCAACAGUUUUUAUUUGGUUGUUUAACAGUUCAGGUCUUACAUUAAAGUCUUUAAUCCAUUUUGAGCUGAUUUUUAUAUAUGACAUGUAAGAUAAAAGUCUAAUUUCUAGUUUCCUUAGCACCACUUAUUGAAGAAAUUGUUCUUUCCACAUUGUGUGUUCUAUACACCUUUGUUGAAAAUCAACUGACUAAUGCAUAGAUUUAUUUCUGAGCUCUCUAUUCUGUUCUGUUGGGCUGUGUGUCUGUUUUUAUGUCAGUACCAUGCUUAUAUGAGUACUGUGACUUUCCAGUAUAUUUUGAGGUUAGGUAGUGUGAUACCUCCAGCUUUGUACUUUUUGUUUAACAUUGCUUUGGUUUUUGGGGGUCUUUUAUGGUUCCAUAUACAGGUUAGGAUUUUUGUUUUGUUUUAGUUUCGUAAAGGAGUUAUUGGAAUUUUGAAAGAAGUUGCAUUGAAUCUUUGACUACUUUUGUAGUAUGGACAUGUUAACAAAAUUCUUCCAAUUCAUGAAUAUGAACAUGUAUUUGUGUAUUCUUCAGUUUCUUUCAUCAAUAUUCAUAGUUUUCAGUAUACAGGUCUUUACAUUUCUUGCUUAGCUUUGUUCUUAAGUUUUGUGGGGUUUUUUUGUAGCUAUUGUGAAUGGGUUUUUUCAAUUUCUUUCUCCUAUAGUUCAUUGUUGGCAUACAGAAUUGAUAAUUAUUUAUAUAUGUUGAUUUUAUAUUCUGUAACUUCACAGAAUUCAUUUAUUAGGUUUAACAAAUUUUUAGUGAAGUCUUGUGUUAGCUUCUCAUUACUUUGACCAAAAUACCUGAGAAAAUGAAAGGAGGAAAGGUUUUUUUGGCUCAUAGUUUCAGAGGUUUUAAGCCUAUGGUUGGCUGGCUCCAUUGAUUUGGGACUAAGGUAAGGCAGAACAUCAUGACCAAAGUGUGUGAUAGAGUAAAGCUGCUCACCUAAUGGUAGUUGGGAAGUAGAGAGAAGGGAAGAGUCUGGGAACAAAAUAUACCCUUCAAAGGCACACCCCAGUCAUCUACUUCAUCUAACCAAAUCUCACCGAGUAUAGUUUUCACCAUCUCCCAAUAAGGCCAUCAAAUUAUUAACCCAUCAAUGUAUUAAUGCACUGAUGGUAAGAACUCUCAUGAUUCAAUCACUUCCCAAGAGCCCCACCUCUGAACAUUGCUGCAUUGGGGACCAAGACUCAACACAAGCCUUUUGCAGGACAUUCCAGAUCCGAUCUAUAGCAAGUCUUCAGGGUUUUCUACUUACAAAUUGUGUCCUCUGAAAGCAGUGACAAUUUGAUUCCCUCUUUCCAAUUAAGAUGCCCUUAAUUUUCUUAUUUUGCCAGAUAGCUCUGGCUAGGUCUUCCAGUACUAUGUUGAAUGAAAGUGGUAAAAAUGGGCAUUGUUGUCUUCUAUAUCUUAGAAAACUUUAUGUUAUUCUCUAUUAGUAUGUUAGCUGUGGGCUUGAUAUGUAUGCCCUUUAUUGAGUUGCAUUUCUUCUAUAUUUAACUUGUUCAGUUUUUAUUAUGAAGGGAUUUUGAAUUUUAUCAAAUCUUUAAUGCAUCUAUCAAGAAAGUUGUAUCAUUUUGUCCUUUAUUCUAUUGAUAAGGUGUAUCAUAUUUAUUGAUUUGCAUAUGUUGAACCAAACUUGCAUCCCUGGGUUGAAUCCCACUUGAUCGUAGUGAAUAAUCAUUUUUUAAUAUUUAUUUUUUAGUUGUAGGUGGACACGCAUAUCUUUAUUUCAUUUUUUUUGUGCUGAGGAUCGACCCCAGUGCCUCACGCAUGCUACAUUUUACCACUGAGCCACAACCCCAGCCUGAAUAAUCAUUUUAAUGUGCUAUUGAAUUCAGGUUGCUAGUAUUUUGUUGAGUAUGUUUCCAUUAAUGUUCAUCGGGGAUAUUAACCUAUAAUUUUCUUCUCUUGCAAUGUUCUUGUCUUAUUUUGGUAUCAGGGCAAUGCUGGCCUCAUAAAAUCAAUUUGUAAAGAUUCUCAUAUCUUCAAUUUUGGGGGGAAGAAUUUGGGAAGGACUGGUAUUUGUCCUUCUUUAAAUGUCUGAUACAAUUCAGAAUGGAGUCAUCUGUCCUUGGAUGGGACAUUUUUUAUUAUUUAUUCAGUCCCAAAACUUACUAUUUGUGUGUUCACAUUUUCUAGUCUUUCAUGAUUCAUUCUUGUAGGUUCUGUAUCUCUAGGUAUUUAUUCAUUUCCUCAAAGUUAUCCAAUUUGUUGGAGUAUAAUUAUUUAUAAUAGUCUCUUACAAUUCUUUGUAUUUCUGUGAUAUUGGUUGUAAUGUCUCAUCUUUUGCUUCUCAUGUUUAAUAUGAGUCUUCUCUUUCUUCUUAGUCUAGUUAAAGAUUUGUUGAUUUAGGUUAACUUUUCAAAAACAAAACUUAAACAUUUUUGUUUUGUUUUCUUUCUGCAAUGGAGGUCUCACUACAAUACCCAGGCAGUCCCAAACUUCUGGGCUCUAAUGAUUUUCCCACUUUAGCCUCCCAAAGUCCUGGAUUUACAAGUAUGUACCACCAUACUUAAAAUUUAUCUCUUCUAUUGUCUUUCUAGUCUCUAUUUCAUUUAUUUCUACUCUGAUCUUUAUUAUUACCUUCCUUCUAUUAACUUUGUGCUUGGUUUGCUCCUUUUCUAGUUCCAUGAGGUGUAACUUCAGGUUGUUUAUUUGAAAUCUUAUUUUUAAAUGUAGGCAUUUAUUGUUAUAAACUUCCCAUUGGAAUGCUUUUGUUGUGUCCAUUUUCAUUUGUCUCAUAUUUUUAAACUUGCCUUUUAAAUUCUUUUUUGACCCAUUGGUUGUUCAGAAGUAUGUUGUUUAACUUACACAUAUUUGUGAAUUUCACAAAAUUCUUCCUGAUACUGAUUUCUAAUUUCAUCCCAUUAUGGUUGGAUCAAUUUUCUUAAAUUUUUAAAGUCCUUUUUUGUGGCUUAACUUAUGAUCUAUCUUGGAAAUGUUCUGUGUACACUCGAGAAAAAUAUGUAUUCUGCUAUUGUUGAAUUGAAUGCUGUGUAUACAUCUGCUAGGAUUAAUGUGUAGUUUGAUCUAAAGUGUAGUUUAAUGUCUUACAUUUCCUUAUUGGAAGUAUAUAUCAUCUGGAUAGUCUGUGCAUUGCUGAAAGUAAGUUAUUGAAGUCCAUUGUAUUAUUGUCUAUCUCACCCUUCAGAUCUAUUUGUGUGCUGAUGUUGGGUGCAUAUACAUUUAUAAUUGUUAUAUCCUUCUGGUGAACUGACCUCCUUAUCAAUAUAUAGUGAUCUUUUAUGUCUUGUUUUAUAGUUUUUGUCUUAAAUUCUAUUUUAUCUUGUUUAAGUAUAACCACCCUUCCUUUAUUUUGAUUUCCAUUUGGAUGGCACAUCUUUUUCCAUUCUUUCACUCUCAGUUUAUAUGUACCCUUAAAUAUGAAAUGAGCCUCAGACACAUCAGAUAAUCGGGCCUUAUUUUUAAAUCCAUUUAGUCACUUUAUGUCUUUUGGUUAGAGAAUUAAGUCCAUUUGCAUUCAGGGUAAUUAUAAAUAGGUAGGGAUUUAUCUACUGCCAUUUGCUUUCUGGUCGUUUUGUGAUCCUUUGUUUUCUUUUUCUUCUCUUGCUGUCUUCCUGAUUAGGUGAUUUUCACCAGUGGCAUUCUUUGAUUCCUUUCUUCUUGUCCUUUACAUAUCUAUUGUCAGUGUUUGCUUUGUUCUUACCAUGAGACUUACAUAAAACAUUUUUUAGUUUUAACAGGCUAUUUGAAGCUGAUGACUUGAGUUUGAUAAUAGAGAAACUUGUACUCUUGUACUCUUCACUUUCCCCACAUUUUAUUUUUUGUGUCACAGUGUACAUGGUUUGUAUUUGAACACCUUAUUGAGUUACUGUAGAUAUUAUUUUUAAUAGCUUUGUCUUUUAAACCUCAUAUCUUGUUUUGGUAUUUUUGUGCAUGAGUAGUUAUUCAAAUCAAUAUUUCUGUAGGAGGAUGAAUACUGGAGAAUCCUACUGCAUCCUCUUACUGAUAUUAGUCACUCAACAUUGGUUAUUAUUCUUAGUUCAGUUAUAGCAUUCUUUUCUUCACUUAUAGCCCAUAUUAAUGCUAAGAUUUGUAUUUGACUUUGCUUUUAAGAAAUGAUUGAACUAUCCUUUUUAAAAAUUCUGCACAUUUUUGCCAGAUUAUAUCAAAGUGAAUUCCAAUGUAUGCAUGCAAGUAUGUGGAUACAUGCAUCUGAUGAGAAGAUGUGAGAAUGAGAAGAAGACCCAGCAUUUAUUGAACAUUAUACCUCAGACACUUUGCUGGUGUUAUUUAUUGUUUGUAAUAGCAAAAACUAACGAGUCUAUUUCUGAAAAUAUUUUUGAAACUAGAUGCAAAAUUUUCUAGCAGAACUACAAACAAUUCUGCUGAAAGAAGGGGCCGUUCAGCCAUCCUCCUGAGGAAUUUGAGCUUGAUUUAAGUCUGAAGUAAAGAUUUGGAUUUAAUUUAAAAUUCUCUGCCAAAGACAUGACCUUCAAAUCUUUUCCAUGAAAUGUCUUUUAGAGCCUGAAAAACAAAUUCAACUCACAUGAGAAUGUAAAUCAAGUGAGAAUAUGAAAUCACAUAUGCUACCUACUGGCUCCAAAUAAGUUUGACAGCCACGUUUAGGUUAUAACAAACUUUGAGAUACCCAAAGAUGACCUUUUAUUUCAAGAUCUGAAAUGAUUAAAUGAUUAAAAUUGCUCUUUAAUAAUUAAAUAUGCCAUCUGUAUAAGACAGAGUGUGACCUUUCACCCAGGGUCUCCCAGGCUGUUCUAGAAUUUCUGCAGUUGGCACAUAUGGUAUCAGAAACCCAGUGCUAUUCUUCCUUUGAAAUAUUAGAGGAGCAGACUUAGAGCAGCUGUUUUUGUGCUGCCAGAUUUCAUUGAAAUGUGGGUUUUAAAAGCUCUUGGCUUGUCAUUUUGAGUUAGCAUACCUUAAUCACAAAUCUCACCAUAAUGUAAUUCAACUGAUGCCUGAAACUCAAUAUAGCGGAACAUUUGCUGAACAAUGCACUUAAUGUAACAAUAGCCAACCAGAAUGUAUGUUUUCCAUUGCAGUGUCCUUUCAUGUUAUAUGUGCCUUCAAAAUAUCUAAUAGAUUAUAAAUAUUCCUUUUUUUAUGGCAACAAAAUGCCAACAAUCUCCAUUACGCUGUUCCUCUCCCCCACUUCAUUGGGAAUAUAUAAGGAAAUACGACAUUUGAAGAGCUAUCUGCUUUAAGAUUUAGACACUGAUAGUACUACUUAAUGCAACCCUGUCAUUAAGCCAACUGCAGUAAUUAGAAAGCCAAUAAUGAGUUCACGUGUCUGUUUGUCUUAAUUGUCAUAUUAGACAACUUCCAUGGUUCAGUGAUCAACACUUACAAUGGUUGGAACAAAGGAAUAUACUGCAAUCACCAUAAACAAUUUCUGUGUGUGUCUGGGAGGUGGGGAUAUUGACCCUGGCUAUAAUAGUACUGGCUAAUUAACCUGGAGUUUUUUUUUUUUUAAAUCUGCUUACUUUCAACAGACUGUUUAUUUAAAAAUUCAACUGAGAGCCUAUAUUUGAGCAUUUUCAGUGUUGACUUUAAUGUCAUUUUUAGAGAUAAACUUGAUUCUUCACUUCCAUUUAAAGUCUUGUGUGGACUUUAAGUCAGACACGAAGUAAGCUAGUCUUAUUUUAAAAUACACUUCACAUUUUAUUUAUAAAAAUCAAACUGUGUGGAAGUUCUUUUAGAAUCUGUUAUUUGAAUUUUUUUCUCACAUAAAUUUAUAGCCAGGAAUCAUGAAAAAUUAUCCCAUUUGCUUUAUUGAAGCAUUUAUUGUACUCAGGAUUGGGAUUCAUUGUAUUGAAUUCCAGGUAGAAUACAUGACAUAAGUUUCAUUUGGCUUUUCUCCCCCCAGGAAGAUUUUAAGUCAUGAAGAUAGAUAAUGAGCAUGCACUCAUUUAUUUAUUUCAAGUGUUUUUUUUUUUUUAAAUGUGUUCCUCCUAUGAUGGGUGCAGGAAUAUUUACUACGCAUGGAUGAGGCAUUUAAGAAGUCAGUAUAUAAAAUAAGUAGCCAUAAUCCAGAAUGAUCGUGUGUAUGUGUAUGUGAGUAUGUGUGAGGAGGGCUGCCAGAGUGGGGAGAGAAGGAAGGAGAAAAGAGGACAAGAAAAUUCAAGGAAGAGAAGAGACAGAGGGCAAUUCCUUUUGUGAGGGGAAAGUAUGCUGGAUCGUCACAUUAAUCCUCUACUCCUAUUUUCUUUCUACAUCUGCCCCACCCUGCCCUUUGCAGAUCAUAUUACCUGAGAUUCUUUGCCCUCUGGCUUUGGGAGGACAGAUAGCAGGAGAAGAGAGGUCAUAGUAGUUACCCCUACUCUCUUAGCCACUUACUUCCUCUACCUUGUAACCACGGUUCCUGCUGGGCAAUCCUUAGGUUGUCUCUCAAUUUCACCUCUCCACUCUUAACUUUGUCCUCCAGUUCCAGGGCUGAGAAGAACCCCCCUUUCUUGUUAGUGCCUGGUGCUUUGCCAUCCUUUGUUCUUAUUACUCCUGCCAUACCUACAAGUGUGUUUCAUCCCUUCAUUGAAUUUUCUUCAGUUAACCCUCCUGUAUGGUCAGACUGACACAAACACAGAAUGUCCAAGAGGGUGAUAUGGAGGUCACUGUACUUUCCCAUUUUGAACAUACACAUAGAGGAGAACAAAGCUGGACUAAAACAGGCCAUUUCUGUUGCUACCAACAGAGGGCAUCGGUAGACAUGCUCAGACAUUUACAGCAAAUUGUUCUUUCCUUGAGUCUGUUGGCUACUUCUUUCUCUUUUAAACAAAUACCAACUCUUAUCUAUACCUGAUAAAUGCCAAAUCAGUGAAAGUGUUGAAAAUCGUUAUAAUAGGUAUUCAUUUGCUUAUGACUAAGGCAAAAACAGAGAUUACUUGAAAAAAAAAACACAGGGGGGAAAAAACAGAUUUCAGGUGAAUGAUUUUUUUUUUUUUUUUCACAGUAGCUACUCUGAAGGACAAAGAGUAAAUCAAAUGAUGACAGAAAAGUAUUGUUCCUGUUGUGGACUGAAUUGUGUCCCCUGCCAAAUGCAUAUGUUGAAGCCCCAACCCCCAAUAUGACUGUAAUUGGAUAUAUGGCCUUUAUAGAGCUAAUUAAGAUUACACAGGACUUAAGAAUGGGACCCUAUUCUAAGGGGACUGGUGUCCUUAUAGGAAUAAAAGGAGAAACCAAGAGUGGGUGUGCAUAGAGGAAAAGCCAUGUGAGGACACAGAAGGGCUAUCUACAAUUCAAGGAGAGAAGCCUCAGGAGAAAUCAGCAUUGCUAGAACCUUGAUCUUGGAUUUCUAGUUUCUAAAACUAUGA
RNAcentral lists this long non-coding RNA (16156 nucleotides) under Marmota monax (woodchuck). Lineage: Eukaryota; Metazoa; Chordata; Mammalia; Rodentia; Sciuridae. The record is from RNAcentral.